GAGUCUACAUAUACUCUAUAUUUAGGCCUGCUCUUACAUACACAGGCAACCUUGCUAACAUUCUGUCUGAUUAUGAAUUAAGUUUAAAGUUGAGGAUGGCUCUGGCAACACAUGUGAAGAAACCACACUGAUCGUCAUGCUGCAAGAUGCCAAGAUUAAUAUGUUGUGUUCAGACAAUGACGACUCAUGCACCUCUAGCAUUAUGGACACAAAAUUUACAAAUGGAAUGGCAAUGCUGCAAAUGAGGGGAUUUAACCAAGACAAAUCUACUCAACUUGCUGCCCUGCAAUUUAGCAAUAAACUCUUCCUAAAAUGUGAAGGGGAAGCAACAGAUGGAGUGAUUUUGAAAGCUGAGGCAAAUCCAACGCUGCUGGGCAUCCAAACGGGAAAGUCCACGGACAUCAAAGCAGUCGAGGCAAACAAACCCUAUUUGUUUCACGCUAUCCGUAAGAAUCCCGAUACAUGGCACUUUCAGUCGGCUUCACACAGUGGCUAUUACAUUUGUGCAGAUGGGGAAAAAAUAGUAAUAGCCAGACAUGAAAAUGACAACAAGUACUUCAAAAUAGUCUUCAAUAAGAAAUGCAAGGAAAUGCUCAUAACUCACAAAGACACCAUGUUGCACUUUGUGUGACAGUCAUACUACGCACUGCUAUGCGAUAGGUGUACCUUCUUUUACUGUUUGGCUGUGUUUGGUUUGCAUCAGUUUUUUACAUUUAUUUUGUAAAGUUUGUAUUUUAUAUCUUGUAUUAAUCUUGUCUUGUCUUAUUGCCUGCUCUCUUUGCAACAAAAAAAAAAGCUCAUGUAUUUUAUUUUCCAUCAUUUCCUGGUGUUAUCAUGAAUACACAAAUCCAGCUAAAAAUAUUUUUAGACGUGAGGAAACAGAAAGUCACGGAUUACUGCUUGAAAGUUCGUAAACACUCUGAGCAACUUUAAGUAGAAAACAUAAAUGGAGAAAUAGCUUCAUUUACAUUAUGUUUAUAAGAUUUUCUAGAGGUACCAGUAAUUGAUUACAUGUAAAUCAUGUGAUUUUGGUCAAAAAUAAUAACUACUUGACGAGGGACUUUUUUUAAAGGUAGUUUCUCUUUUUUUGUGUGAGAUUAAGCUAAUUCACCAAAGAUGACCCUUUAUCACCUUUACUCAUCUUCAUCAGGGGUGUAAAUAAUUGUGGAAGGAACAGUUGUUGUUGUGUGAGGUAACUGUAUUAUGUUGCUAUAGCUUAAAAAAUGUAUUUGGUAAGUUCAACAGUAUUUCUUUAGUAAGGACAAAUACAAAAAGAUCAAUGCAAACUGUUUCCUUGAUUUUCCAAGUAUUAAUAACACAAUUCAUUGUACACAAAGUUAUUUGUACUUUUCAAGACAACACUUGAUCAGUAUGAAUCAAAAAUCAGUAUGAUGAACCAAUAGUAGGGUCAGAAACCUCAGUUCCGUGACUGUCACAGCCUCUGCUGCACGCUCCUCUGUUCCUGUUUCUGCUCUUGCUCCAGUCCGUUCACCCUCUCCUGUGUUUAGUAUUUCCCUCACACCUUAGUUUUCCCUCCAUGUUUGGUUCUCACCUGUAGCCAAUGUGUUAAUUGAAUUUAGUUCUCACCUGUAGCCAAUGUGUUAAUUUAAUUUAGUUCUCACCUGUAGCCUUUGUAUUAAUUAAGUUUAGUUCUCACCUGUAACCAAUGUAUUCACUGAGCUCUUAUGUAAGCCUUGGACUUUUCCUUUGUCUUUGUGUGUAAUUGUUUGUGAUCAGCAAGAUGUACUGUUCUCCAGUCCUGUGAACUCUGCCUUGUUUGCCCAUUGUGGCACUUUGAUUUAUCUCAGUAAAACACGCCUUGAGCGUUUG
Clupea harengus (Atlantic herring) is the source of this 1830-nucleotide long non-coding RNA. Lineage: Eukaryota; Metazoa; Chordata; Actinopteri; Clupeiformes; Clupeidae. The record is from Ensembl.